This 467-nucleotide ribosomal RNA is filed under the name uncultured bacterium. RNAcentral's name for it is "partial 16S ribosomal RNA". It matches the Rfam family "Bacterial small subunit ribosomal RNA", at positions 28 to 506 of the family's 1533-position model. The record is from RNAcentral.
GACGAACGCUGGCGGCGUGCUUAACACAUGCAAGUCGAACGGAAAGGCCCUGCUUUUGUGGGGUGCUCGAGUGGCGAACGGGUGAGUAACACGUGAGUAACCUGCCCUUGACUUUGGGAUAACUUCAGGAAACUGGGGCUAAUACCGGAUAGGAGCUCCUGCUGCAUGGUGGGGGUUGGAAAGUUUCGGCGGUUGGGGAUGGACUCGCGGCUUAUCAGCUUGUUGGUGGGGUAGUGGCUUACCAAGGCUUUGACGGGUAGCCGGCCUGAGAGGGUGACCGGCCACAUUGGGAUGGGGAUACGGCCCAGACUCCUACGGGAGGCAGCAGUGGGGAAUAUUGCACAAUGGGCGGAAGCCUGAUGCAGCAACGCCGCGUGCGGGAUGACGGCCUUCGGGUUGUAAACCGCUUUCGCCUGUGACGAAGCGUGAGUGACGGUAAUGGGUAAAGAAGCACCGGCUAACUACGU